Long non-coding RNA from Mirounga angustirostris (Northern elephant seal), 615 nucleotides. RefSeq lists it as uncharacterized. The transcript is spliced from 3 exons. Lineage: Eukaryota; Metazoa; Chordata; Mammalia; Carnivora; Phocidae. The record is from RefSeq and is a predicted model, not a curated record.
UGUUCCUGCAUGGUGUAGGCCUUCUGAACAAAGAACAGGCUCGAAUAGCAAGCCUGUGCUGGAAGCUAAGGAGAAUAUGCCACCAGAGAAAUUUAGAGAAAUACCUCCCUGGUGAGGUCUCUGGAUAGGAAAGAUACAAUCUCCUUCGUCUUCUUGAAAUAUAUGCUUACAUUCCAGGGUAAUGAAUAAUCUUUCUCUUCAGAGGCGAGGACAAGCAGCUAUGCCAGCCGCCACAUAAAAGGAGAGCUGUUUGCACAGAACUGCCGUGCGUUAACCCCCUGCCAUUCGCUGCCAGUGAUGGGUCAGAGUCUUGCGGGAAUGCCUGGCACCUCAGUGAAAUCUUCAGCUGCUGGGGACAGAACAAGCAUGAAGAUCUUGCUAACUGCAGCCUCUGGGCUCCAAAGGGAGGCAGCCUCCCCCAGGAGAGUACCCGCCCAGGUACCCUGUGGGGUUUUGGACUUGCAGUUUCGACACAGCUACUAGCUAUUCUUCCUCACUGCCGCCGAUCCCCGCUGAGACGCAGCAGCCCCGAGUCCUCACCGGGUGGUUGUUCCAAGAACGAUGACCAGCGGCGGAAACCAACUCCCAAAAGCCUUUCUGAGCAGGUCUUCAACC